GAUGAACGCUGGCGGCGUGCCUAAUACAUGCAAGUCGAGCGAACGGACGCGAAGCUUGCUUCUCUGAUGUUAGCGGCGGACGGGUGAGUAACACGUGGAUAACCUACCUCUAAGACUGGGAUAACUUCGUGAAACCGGAGCUAAUACCGGAUAAUAUUUUGAACCGCAUGGUUCAAAAGUGAAAGACGGUCUUGCUGUCACUUAUCGAUGGAUCCGCGCUGCAUUAGCUAGUUGGUAAGGUAACGGCCUACCAAGGCAACGAUGCAUAGCCGACCUGAGAGGGUGAUCGGCCACACUGGAACUGAGACACGGUCCAGACUCCUACGGGAGGCAGCAGUAGGGAAUCUUCCGCAAUGGGCGAAAGCCUGACGGAGCAACGCCGCGUGAGUGAUGAAGGUCUUCGGAUCGUAAAACUCUGUUAUUAGGGAAGAACAUAUGUGUAAGUAGCUGUGCACAUCUUGACGGUACCUAAUCAGAAAGCCACGGCUAACUACGUG
RNAcentral lists this ribosomal RNA (497 nucleotides) under uncultured bacterium. Its description in RNAcentral is "partial 16S ribosomal RNA". It matches the Rfam family "Bacterial small subunit ribosomal RNA", at positions 28 to 507 of the family's 1533-position model. The record is from RNAcentral.